This 491-nucleotide ribosomal RNA is filed under the name uncultured bacterium. RNAcentral describes it as "SSU rRNA". It matches the Rfam family "Bacterial small subunit ribosomal RNA", at positions 26 to 521 of the family's 1533-position model. The record is from RNAcentral.
AGAACGAACGUUAGCGGCGCGCUUAACACAUGCAAGUCGCACGAGAAAGGGCUUCGGCCCCGGUAAAGUGGCGCACGGGUGAGUAACACGUGGGUAAUCUUCCCUCGAGCGGGGGAUAACAUUCCGAAAGGAGUGCUAAUACCGCAUAAGACCACGGCUUCGAAAGGAGCUGAGGUCAAAGCUGGCCUCUAUAUAUAAGCUAGCACUUGAGGACGAGCCCGCGGCCCAUCAGGUAGUUGGUAGGGUAAUGGCCUACCAAGCCGAAGACGGGUAGCUGGUCUGAGAGGAUGAUCAGCCACACUGGAACUGAGACACGGUCCAGACUCCUACGGGAGGCAGCAGUGGGGAAUCUUGCGCAAUGGACGAAAGUCUGACGCAGCGACGCCGCGUGGGUGAUGAAGGCCUUCGGGUUGUAAAACUCUUUCGACGGGGACGAUAAUGACGGUACCCGUAGAAGAAGCUCCGGCUAACUUCGUGCCAGCAGCCGCGGU